RNAcentral lists this ribosomal RNA (484 nucleotides) under uncultured bacterium. Its description in RNAcentral is "partial 16S ribosomal RNA". It matches the Rfam family "Bacterial small subunit ribosomal RNA", at positions 30 to 507 of the family's 1533-position model. The record is from RNAcentral.
AUUGAACGCUGGCGGAAUGCUUUACACAUGCAAGUCGAACGAUGAACCUUAGCUUGCUAAGGGGAUUAGUGGCGAACGGGUGAGUAAUAUAUCGGAACGUGCCUUGUAAUGGGGGAUAACUAGUCGAAAGAUUAGCUAAUACCGCAUACGCCCUGAGGGGGAAAGUAGGGGAUCUUCGGACCUUACGUUAUAAGAGCGGCCGAUAUCUGAUUAGCUAGUUGGUGGGGUAAUGGCCUACCAAGGCGACGAUCAGUAGCUGGUCUGAGAGGACGACCAGCCACACUGGAACUGAGACACGGUCCAGACUCCUACGGGAGGCAGCAGUGGGGAAUUUUGGACAAUGGGCGCAAGCCUGAUCCAGCCAUUCCGCGUGAGUGAAGAAGGCCUUCGGGUUGUAAAGCUCUUUCGCAAGGGAAGAAAACUUACCAUCGAAUAAAUGGUGAGGCUGACGGUACCUUGAUAAGAAGCACCGGCUAACUACGUG